ACAAUAAAAAAAUAUAAAAAUAUGAUAAAAAAUAUUUAUAAAAAUAAAAUUAUACUAUAUAAUAUCGUAAUGAUUAGAUUAUAAUAUAAUUUUUAUGAUUUUUUAAUAUGUUUUUUACUAAUCUUUUUUGGGCUGAUAAAAUUUAGAUAAUUUUCAAUACCAAAUAGGAUUCAUGUCAGUUUGAAGUAGGGGUGGGGUGUGUGUCAAUGAGUCACCGGCUUGUGUUUAGCUUGUUUUAUAAUCGACUCGAACACGAGCUGGCUUGUUAAAGUAUCGAGCCGAAAAAUUUAAUUUGUAUUCGACUCGUUUAUUAACAAGAACAUGAGUUGGAUCGCAAAUAAUAACUUAAAAGAAUUACAUAUAUAUAUAUAUAGAGAGAGAGAGAGAGAGUGAGAGAGAGAGAAAAUAAAUUUACGAAACUUUAUCCAUUAGACUUUAAUCUAAUGGUUGAAAUUUUAUAUAAAAUGAAUUUUUUUUAAUUGAACCGGCUUUAUAUUUAGGAUGGUUUAAAAAUUAGAUAAUAAAAGUUUAUGCUAUAUAUAUAAUUAUUUAUUUAUAUAUAAAUAUAAAAUAUAUUUAUUCGAGCUAUUAUCGAGCUGUUGAAAAAUUUAGCUUGUGAUCGGCUCGUUUACUAAAUGAACAAUUCGAUCUCAGGCAGUCGAGCACGGGCCGUCUUGCGAACAGUGAGGUAGACUG
This 696-nucleotide long non-coding RNA is filed under the name Ananas comosus (pineapple). RNAcentral's name for it is "long non-coding RNA (ACOM_LNC014112)". Lineage: Eukaryota; Viridiplantae; Streptophyta; Magnoliopsida; Poales; Bromeliaceae. The record is from RNAcentral.